ACCGGGGUCAAGUCAAGUGAUAGGCUACGAGCCGUGUUAUUUUUUCAAGGGAAAAGGCAAAAUCCCGAAUAUUGUGUUUUUGUUUACAUCAAUAAAAUGCAUAAUAUAAUUCUAGCUAAACGAUUUUUAUCCAUUAAAUCAUUUAUAUUGUUUUACGAUCAAAUAUUUCAGCUAAACCCGAGGAUUCCGUGCGACCUGUGGGAUAUAGGACGCUGAAUUUGCAGGCCGUAUACACAUUCUAAGCAGGAGCUUGUGUGUUUACUGAUUAUAAAAGUUAACUCAAGUUUUAUUAAAAACUCUUGUAAUAAUGGAAGAGGAGGAUGAGUUGGAGCUUACGCAAAAAGGGAAGCUUAUUAAGGUGCUAGAAGAGAAAAUCAAGAAACCUGAGAUUGAUGAUACUCUAAAAAAGGUUUUAGAUGAAUAUAACGAAAUAACCAGAAAAGAAACACCCUUUUUGGAUAACGGUGUUUUGGAACGUUUGAACUUCGCUGAAGAUGCCUUAGUGAUCCAAGCAUGCGGUCAAUACUAUGGCAAGUGUGUGGACAAACUCUGGGAUGAACUUUUACAGCUCCAUACCCGGAUGGUCAAAUAUGACGAGGUGACAGCCAAGAAUUGCACCGAUAGAAAAAAACAAGAAGAGCGACAAGAAGAAAUUUCUCGCCUAGAAGAACGAUUAAACAGAGGCAAAAGGAAGAAAAUUGUUCUCUCUAAACCUGAUGAGCAGUUACCUCCGAAAAAUGGGCAGCGACUUAUCGAUUUUCAGAUGAACAAUGAUGACCGCAUAGAAUUGUUCAGUAAGUGCACUUUGGAAAGGCACCAAAAAAUUGCUGCGGCUAGAGAUAAGGAGGAGAUUGAUUUUGAACGUCCUUUUGAUUUUAAUGCUGUAUAUGAGAUACCAAUUGUACCGUUCGAAGCUGAUGACGUUAAUGGUUUCUGGAAUCAGAUUUAUCAAGAUCAACUGCGAGAAUUGCAAAGGAACUAUAACUCAAUAAUCGUCAUUCAGUAUCACAAGUUGAGAAAUCGGUUUAAGCACCAUCUGAGGUUAAAUAUGGAGGAUGAGGUAUAUGACAUGGAUGAACCUGAAGAGCUUAACACUAGGAUAGGACGUCUUAUUUCUUAUCAACAUAUCAUAAACGAUUUUGAGGAUAACGACAAGUGUCUUUUGCCUGAUGACAAUUUGACUUUGGCUAAGUUAAGGCUGGCAGUAUACGCAAGAAAAAACUGGAUGUUAAAAAACAAUAUAACAAUGUACACUCCUUAUGAGGACUACAGAGAACGCUGGCUACAAUUUCGCAAAGAAUUCUUCGACAGAGAAAGACGAAAAAUUCAAAAUAUGCCCCAAAAUAGCUGCGAAGAGACCAUAUUGUUUUUCAAAGCUUUGGCAAAGAAGGAGCAGAUUGCUAGACAGAAAAUAGCAGAGUUAAAAGCACAAGGAAUUCCGGCAAAAGAACUACCCAGCAUCAAUUUUUAUGAUAUCAUCAUUAUGCCUGCCAGAGAUGACUAUGUUGGUCCACUGGACCCGUUUAUUCCUGAAGGUUUUGAUUUGCCACCGCCUCCUCGUAUGUUACUUUUUUCAAUUGAUUUAACUGAGUCAGAAACGGAAGUUUCUCAAGAACUCUCUGCGGUUCCAGCAGUUGAAGGGGAUCAAGGUGAUCAUGAGCCAGAGAUCAGUACUUUGCUUGAAAACGAACCAGAACAUCCUGACCCUAACGCUCAGGAAGGCGAUAAGCUGAGAUCCGAUUCUGGAUAUUUUGACGGUGGGUUUGAGGAUGAGGAGUCAAAUUCCGCAACUAAUAACAACAAUCAGUGCGAUACCCCUUUGGAAUUUGAUAAGGAACAUGUCGAUAAUAUAGAUAAAGCUACCACAGACAGUACAGAACCUGGAAAUCCGACUGGCAGCUCAGAAUCUGAAAAUCUCACAGGCAUCACAAAUCCCGACAAUCCCACGGGCAGUGCAGAACUUGAAAAUCCUACAGGCAGCCCAGAACCCUCUAACCCAGAGGAAGAAUCAGCUUCUGUUGAAAAUCAAAGUGCAUUCGAUGAAAAUCUAACUGAACUAGAUACAUCAUCUGAUGUAAUCAAAGACUCUUCUAAUUUCUCUGAAGAAAUAGCGGAUUCUUUACCAGAAUACGAUAGUGAAAAAAUGAACGCUCAAAUUAAAGAGUUCUCGCAACAAGCUUUAAUCGAACCGGAAGCGAUUUAUGACGCUUUAGAAGGUAGUUAUUUUCAUCAGGAUGGCGAUAUCAUUACUAUUGUUUAUAAUAAGCCUACUGUACGUGAAGAAGAAAAUGUCGAAGGGGAUUUUAUCAAACUUUUUGGCAACGAUGUGGAAUAUGAAACAGUAUAUCCCGAAAAUUAUCGUAGGAAACGGAAACUUGAAGACAGUGAACUUGAGCAAAAAGUCGAGACACGUAGACGAUUGUUAUUGAGUUGUGAAAAUUCAGAACCCUUAAAGAAGAUUAAGAAGUUAUCUAGUAAACAAGUGGAAAAGCUGAAGAUGAGUUUAAUUCCUGCCGUGAAAGAACCUAAAUGGGAUCAUUUUUAUUCGCUGAAUUACCAGACUGAAAGUGGAGAAGGUGAAAUAGUCCAAUUAGACUAUGAAUCAGACAAUGAUGAGGCUAACGAAGAUAACCAAUUGGACAAUGACAACGAUCAAGCCGAGAAUAAUGAAGUCACAGAUUUAAAUGUGUCUGGCUAUCAUAGCGAUGAUAAUGAGAAUCCUCAUUCCGAGAAUGACAGUCCGUUACCGGCUUCACAAGAUUCUGGGGUUAAUAUUGAUGCAACUAUCGAGGAAAUACAUGUGGUAAGAUGUCAAUCGGAAAGAGUGCCACAGUUAACACAACCAGCCGAAUUUGCUGACAUCUUACCUAAAAUAAUUCCUCAAGGUGACAGCGAACUGCAAACUGCUGAGGAUAUCGAGGCAGCCGCGGUCCUCGAAAGACUAUCUGAUCCAGCACAAAUUGAAGAUGUAAUAAGAGAAAGAGAAGAGUUACUGAAAAAUCAGCGAGAAGAAGAAUGGAGUUUGAUGAGCCCGCAAGCACGUGAAAGAGAACUAAUGAAAAAACGUGUGGCGGAAUGGACACAACAAAUGAAUCAAAAGCUGAAGAACGUAAAGGAGCAAGACUUCGAUAUUCACCAGUAUGGAUCGACUAUAAUGGAGUCUUUAACAAAAGAGCAACCGAAGCCGUUUAGUGAGUUUGUUGAGGGACAAUCUUCGUCGGAGGUUGUAAGAUUCUUUGUAUCAUCAUUGCAACUAGCAAAUACUAUGAAUGUAGAACUAUGUGGGGUCAAACAAGGUGAACUGUCCAAUGAUACGCUGGCCAUAAAACUUCUGAGUAAGGAAAGAUAUCACGAUCAUCUGCAAGAAUACCAAGCUCCCUCUGAAGAAACUUUGAGGGAAAGACUAAAGAGAGCUCGGGCCGAUUUGAAAAAUAGGGCUAAAGAACAAAAUCCUCCUUCAACUGAUUCGGCAAUGAUCCAAGAGAAUAAUAACGAGGAUCGACCGAGACAGAGAGGUAAAAGAGACCAAAAAAGACAGAAAACAAUGUCUCUGCCACACAAUAAUAAUAACGAUGAAUUCGUAAGACCGAAACUGCUUAGAAGACCUAGAGCACAAGUUCCCGAACUUUCAGAUGAAGAUGAAGAUCAACCCUUACAGGUCUAUAAACAUAAAAUGGUUAAUCAGUGCCAACAGCCUUGCUCAUCUAAACAGGCAGAUAUGAAGGAUUUGGAGAUUUUGACCGAACAAUGCCUAAAACGCAAGUCAACAAGCAAGAAAGCUCAUGACGCUUCACCUAUUGCUUCUCCGACUGGUCCAUCGCCGCAUAAAGUAAGAAUUUUGAACUUUAGCAUCUGCCAACGUUCCCAAGAAGAACUAAAUGUUGUGGGUUUUCACGAAUUUGAGGAGACUCAACCGUUGCCGUCUGGAAAUGACGAUCAAAAUGUCGUCGAAAUGGCCCUAUCUGAAAUCGCAGAGACACCAAACCGAUCAAGUACCGACAGUGGUUUCAUACCAUCGUGCGACGAAGAUUUCUUGGAACAGUUUGAUCAUUUCCAGCAAAUUAAUGAAAUGAAUGUACAGUCGACUCCUGUCAAGCAACGAAAACAAAUCAGGAUAAAAGUCGUAAAAAUGAAUACAAAUAGUCAGUAAGUUAACAAAUAUUUGGGCAACUGCUUAAUUUAGAAGCAAAGCUAGUAAUUAAUAAUUUUAUUAUAGUAUUAGGAUAAUAGAAUUUAAUUUUUAAAUGGUAUUAGGCAUAAGUUUCUGGUAGCGUUAGGGUAAUAUUGCAUACAUUUGCUUAAUAAAAAUGAUAUAGAUUUAAGCAACAUCUUGUAAACGAAAUAAGUGUAAAUAUAUUUUAUUUUUACAAAGGAUCAAACCUAUUUUGGUAGAAAAUGUGCAAAAUUAACCAAAAAGUAAAUCAUAGUUUAGAAGUCACUUUUGUCCAUCUAAACUGUCCGUUCUGUGAUGUCGUUUAUUCAAAGUUACUAUAGAGAAAACAACAAAUAAAAUUAUAUUAUCAGUAGGUGUAGACGUUAAGUGUUUUCAUGAUAUCUAUAAAGAAGCUUAAAGUUUUUCUUAUGUUAGAAAAGUUUCCGGAAUAGUUUCAAUUAAAACUAAAAAGGUUUUCAGCAAAUGUUUACAGGGUUUUCAUAAUUUUUAUUUUUAAAUGGCGGGAAUUUAUGUUAUUGCCUUUAAUAAAACUAUUCCUAAACAUCUCCUAUUUUUGUAUAGUGUAUAUACUUCAUACUUUCAAAAAGAAAAUGUACAUACACUUAAAUUUUUUAAAUUAUACUGGUAAAAUAUACUUAUACCGAAUUUGUUAAUAACAAUUUUGUCUUUAUUUUCUAUUGUCUAAACUUUACAUGAUUAAAGAAUUUUUUAUGAUUUAUUAUUUAAAAUUGAAUAUUUUUUUCAUUUUUAUAUAUACAUCAUCUAUAACAAAGUUGUUAUUAAUAUAUUAGCUUAAGUUAGAACUUAAAAGUAGUAUUUAUAGUCGUUGCCUAAAGCAUUUAGAAUUAUUAGCAAGGAACAUGAUUCUAAAAGCAUUAGUAUUUUUCCCAUUUGCAUAAAAGUAAUAAUUUAUAAUUUCUAUCUGGAUCUCGUCACAAUUAUAUAAUCAUGAAGUUACCAGUCUUUUAGAAGAUUCGUUCUUUAAUUUUAACAAAACUAAACAUUAUCUGAUUUUAUUUUGACUUCAGAAGAAAUUCAAAGAUUAAGGGAGACUUAAGGGUUUUCUUUGACUUUUUUUAAUUUUCGACAAUUUCCAUAACUGGAUUGUGGUUGUGUGACGUUAUAAUAGAAAUCCUAAAAUAUUACUCUUAUCUCAACGACUAUAAUUAGAUCAUUUAACAGUAAAAUAAGAUUAAAACGGUUGGUUUUUUAGAUUAUACAUGUGUUUAAAAUAGUCUUCCUUGCAAUAUUUUACAGGUUAUGCGUUGAUUAUACCAAACUCAGCUUUUUUAUUUUUUUUAUAUACUAUUCUGCUUUUAGUAUUAUUUUUUAUACAGUAGUUUUUUUAAAUUGUGUGUUUGGAAAACCACUUAAUAAAUAAUGGGAUUUUGAGGUUACAUCUCGGGUUUGAACCACAUGCUGACAAGGGAAAUUUGAAGGACUCAAAGCUGCUAAGUGCUAUAAAAAGCAAUAUCUGUACAUUUAUGAUUAUUAAACAUUUAUUAUUUACUAAUACCGCAUGGAACUUUAGUAAUUUUGUUGUUUUCUUAUACAAAACUUCUCUAAAGGUAUAACAGGGGAAAGAUAAAAUUACAAGGCUCUUGUUAACUUUAUUAUUACCUUUGUUUUUUUAUUCCUUAUAUCAAAAUAACUGUCCCUAGAGAAAGAGAGGACCUGAUUUAAAUUAGAAUCCAAAAAUUUGUAUAUUAAUUAAAUUUACGAUUGUGGCCAAAAAUAGGAUAAAAAGUUAUAUAAAACUCGUUUAUUACGCGAAAUAUCAAAGAUUUAUUUUAAAAAAUAAUUAAAAUUAAUAGCAAAUGCUUCAACAAAAAUAUGGAAAUUAUAACGUUACAUUUCAUAGCACAGCAUUUGACGCACGCACGCGCUGAUAAUCGCUGCUCAUAGACGAUUCAUUAUCCACGAUGAGAAAAAUCGCUAGAAAUAUUCUGUCAACCGUUUUCAAAUAUUUUAAAUAAUCAUGGAUCUUUAUUUGAAAUAUUUAACCUUACAAUUUAAAUUAAAGCGAAAGAACACAAAAUAAAUUUUCACAAAUUCACCUCAAUUAGUUUUAUUCUACUUUUCUCCGCUAUGUAGCAAAUAACUUCACUGCUUUGUUUCUCGUAACUAAAACAAAUGCCUAAUUGCAGCUGGAUUUAACUAAUCUAUUUGAACGCGUUUACUAUAUAAACUGAACUAUUCAGUGGUAAACUACUUGAAGUUUCCUAACUUUUGGCCAGAACAAAAGCUUAUAUUUUUAAUGAAUACCUAGAUAAAUGUAUAAUCUUAUAUUUAUAGCAUAUGAUUUUACUAUUAAGUCUCCAUACUUUUGGCCACCACUAUAUAUAUUUUUUAAGACAAUUCUGUCACUCUUGGGAACUAGAAAAUAUUCCUCAAAAAAUAAAUUUAGGUGAUUUAGUAGAUUUUAAAAUUAUUUGUAGCGGAAAUAUUUUAGAAAAUUAAUUUUCCAGUAGCUUAUUAAAAAUGGGCGGUGUUCUGGUAAUGUUUAUUGAUUGAGACAUAUAUAGCGAUUCCAAUUUCUGCCUUGAAAAUUAAAAAGAAUUAUUUAUGCACCAUCCUGUAGCUUCCCUAUACACCUUUAAGUGUUUUUCCAAUCAUUAUUUUAAAACAAUUCCUGCAUGAUUUUUUUUUCUUAUCAUUUUUAAUUUACUCUUCAUUUUAAUGUUUAGGAAGAAAAUGUAAUGCUUAUCUUUAAUUAGUCUUAAAUAUAUUCAGUUCAUAUAGCUUAA
This 6921-nucleotide unclassified non-coding RNA is filed under the name Anthonomus grandis grandis. RNAcentral's name for it is "uncharacterized LOC126736620". Lineage: Eukaryota; Metazoa; Arthropoda; Insecta; Coleoptera; Curculionidae. The record is from RNAcentral.